GGAGGCGUCUGGGUGCCUGGUGGCCCCCCCGGUCUUCAAAACCGGUGAGCGCUGCGCAGCGGCGCUGGCGGGUUCGAUUCCCGUCCGCCUCCGCUGCCA
Molecule: transfer RNA, 99 nt
Filed under: Streptosporangiaceae bacterium
Lineage: Bacteria; Bacillati; Actinomycetota; Actinomycetes; Streptosporangiales; Streptosporangiaceae
Description: tRNA-Sec
Rfam family: Selenocysteine transfer RNA
Source: RNAcentral